ACGAACGCCGGCGGCGUGCUUAACACAUGCAAGUCGAACGGAAAGGCCCUGCUUUUGUGGGGUGCUCGAGUGGCGAACGGGUGAGUAACACGUGAGUAACCUGCCCUUGACUUUGGGAUAACUUCAGGAAACUGGGGCUAAUACCGGAUAGGAGCUCCUGCUGCAUGGUGGGGGUUGGAAAGUUUCGGCGGUUGGGGAUGGACUCGCGGCUUAUCAGCUUGUUGGUGGGGUAGUGGCUUACCAAGGCUUUGACGGGUAGCCGGCCUGAGAGGGUGACCGGCCACAUUGGGACUGAGAUACGGCCCAGACUCCUACGGGAGGCAGCAGUGGGGAAUAUUGCACAAUGGGCGGAAGCCUGAUACAGCAACGCCGCGUGCGGGAUGACGGCCUUCGGGUUGUAAACCGCUUUCGCCUGUGACGAAGCGUGAGUGACGGUAAUGGGUAAAGAAGCACCGGCUAACUACGUG
Molecule: ribosomal RNA, 467 nt
Filed under: uncultured bacterium
Lineage: Bacteria
Description: partial 16S ribosomal RNA
Rfam family: Bacterial small subunit ribosomal RNA
Source: RNAcentral